UGGGGAAUAUUGCACAAUGGAGGGAACUCUGAUGCAGCGACGCCGCGUGAACGAAGAAGGCUUUCGAGUCGUAAAGUUCUUUUAUAUGGGAAGAUAAUGACGGUACCAUAAGAAAAAGCCCCGGCUAACUACGUGCCAGCAGCCGCGGUAAUACGUAGGGGGCUAGCGUUGUCCGGAAUCACUGGGCGUAAAGGGUUGGCAGGCGGAAAUGCAAGUCAGGUGUAAAAGGCAGUAGCUUAACUACUGUAAGCAUUUGAAACUGCAUAUCUUGAGAAGAGUAGAGGUAAGUGGAAUUUUUAGUGUAGCGGUGAAAUGCGUAGAUAUUAAAAAGAAUACCGGUGGCGAAGGCGACUUACUGGGCUCAUUCUGACGCUGAGGAACGAAAGCGUGGGUAGCAAACAGG
Molecule: ribosomal RNA, 403 nt
Filed under: Fusobacteriota bacterium
Lineage: Bacteria; Fusobacteriati; Fusobacteriota
Description: Fusobacteria bacterium partial 16S ribosomal RNA
Rfam family: Bacterial small subunit ribosomal RNA
Source: RNAcentral